UUUAACAAUUUUGACCAUGAUUAACUGGAAAGAAUUGACGCUUUGAUAUACGAGAAGCUUCAUAAAAUUGAGUCCAUACUUCAACGGAUAGUUCCCCGAGGUCUUCUUGCCGAUAUAAAAUACACCUGUUGAUAGAAGAACUCGAUUACCGGCAUGCUAUUUCAGCGCUUCCAGAACUUCAUAUAGAGAACUCUAGACGAACCCUGUAGCGAGCACUAGACAGGCGCGGGGGCGGGACACAGCUCGGAGUCCCGAACGAAGGACCGUCAACAAACGUGACCAUUCCAUUCCCCGGACAGAACUUGACUUCCGGUUCGAAGAGUUCCGGUUCAGCGUCUGAAAAAAGGUCCCCAUCUUUCUGUGUAACA
Long non-coding RNA from Magallana angulata, 368 nucleotides. RefSeq lists it as uncharacterized. The transcript is spliced from 3 exons. The record is from RefSeq and is a predicted model, not a curated record. NCBI's taxonomy places the organism in Eukaryota, Metazoa, Mollusca, Bivalvia, Ostreida, Ostreidae.